RNAcentral lists this ribosomal RNA (253 nucleotides) under uncultured bacterium. RNAcentral describes it as "partial 16S ribosomal RNA". It matches the Rfam family "Bacterial small subunit ribosomal RNA", at positions 524 to 776 of the family's 1533-position model. The record is from RNAcentral.
UACGUAGGGCGCAAGCGUUGUCCGGAAUUAUUGGGCGUAAAGAGCUCGUAGGCGGCCUGUCGCGUCUGCUGUGAAAUCCCGGGGCUUAACCCCGGGCGUGCGGUGGAUACGGGCUGGCUGGAGGCAGGCAGGGGAGAACGGAAUUCCCGGUGUAGCGGUGAAAUGCGCAGAUAUCGGGAGGAACACCAGUGGCGAAGGCGGUUCUCUGGGCCUGUACUGACGCUGAGGAGCGAAAGCGUGGGGAGCGAACAGG